AUGAAUGUGAUGCACCGGUAUCAAAUAAAGCUCUAACUCGAAUACCAUAAAGUAAAAUGAUACCUGCGACCACAUUCUCGGCUGCCGCAGCCUCCUCAGUCUGGGCCGCAUACAUGCGCCCGCUCGGGGCCUGUCGUGACCCCUCCGUCUGCUGCUGGACAGGUGGCCGACCGGCCUGGUGAUGCGCAGAAGAUGUCCCCUGGCUGGGACCUGGCGAUGCAGGUGCAGAUGCCGAAGAUGGCGCUGGCAAAGGACUCCUCGGGCAGUCCGACUGGAAGUGGCCCUCCUGGCCACACAAGAAGCACCUGCCCCGGCUGCGUGAACACUGCCGCGGGUAAUGAGGACCGCCACAGAUCACGCAGCGGGGGGCCUGGCGACGAUCGGGUCCUCCUCGCUGAGUAGACUGGCCACGUCCUCGCGACUGGCUCCGGCUCCUGGGGUGCCUCGGCGGCCUCCGUGAGUGCGUCUGACUCGCACCCUCAGCCGCGGGCCUCUUGCCCUUCCCUUUCUCCAAGCUCUCGCGACGCUCCUGCAGAUCCGCCGCUCCUGCCUCCACUAUCAAAGCUCGAUCCACAACCUCCCGGUAGGUCUGGAGGUUGGAAGACUGCACCAACCGGAAGAUAGAAGGCCGCAAACCGCGCUCAAAGAUGCGGGCCUUGUCCUCGUCGUCCCUCACAACAAACGGUACACAGUGUAGUAUCCGGGAGAACUCCCUCUCGUACUCAGCCACUGACCGCUCAUCCUGGCGCAAGCUGCGCAAAUCCUGCUCCAUCUUCCUCUUGACGCUGGUAGGAAAGUGGUGCGCCAGUAGAAGCUCCUUGAACCUAGUCCAAGUAAUCGCUGCCAAGUCGGUGUUGGGGUUGUCCUGGAUAUCCAACCACCAACGGUAGGCCUCGCCGUCCAGAAAGUGAGUGGCGAGCCAAACUCUGUCCCGCUCCUCCACAAAGGUAUCUCGAAACAGCUUCUCCAUGUGUAGCAACCACUUCUCAACAAUCCAGUGGUCGACGUUCUCGCCAUCAAACGUCCUCGGGCUGCACCUCCUAUACUCACUGAGGCGAUCCAUAAGCUGAUCCCGCUCGGCACCCUCGGCCAUCACGGGGAAUGCAAACCCGUCGCCGGUCUCUGAACUGGUAAUGCAGCAACGACCUCCUCCCGAGGUGCGGUCGCCGGUGCCGCACGUGAAGAGCUGGGCGCGGGGGACUGCGCCCUCGGUGCGACGUCCACCACGGGUGCUGGCGGUGUGGGACCUUGGGUCUCCCUCGAAGCUGCCGCCUGCUGAAGUAGGAGGUUGUCACGCCCCGAGACUGCUACUAAUUUGGUCCGGCCCCGGGCGCGUCGAAC
This 1341-nucleotide long non-coding RNA is filed under the name Ananas comosus (pineapple). Its description in RNAcentral is "long non-coding RNA (ACOM_LNC037409)". The record is from RNAcentral. Lineage: Eukaryota; Viridiplantae; Streptophyta; Magnoliopsida; Poales; Bromeliaceae.